Molecule: ribosomal RNA, 720 nt
Filed under: uncultured bacterium
Lineage: Bacteria
Description: bacterial SSU rRNA
Rfam family: Bacterial small subunit ribosomal RNA
Source: RNAcentral
GGGUGAGUAACACGUGGGUAACCUGCCCAAGAGACUGGGAUAACACCUGGAAACAGAUGCUAAUACCGGAUAACAACACUAGACGCAUGUCAAGAGUUUGAAAGAUGGUUCUGCUAUCACUCUUGGAUGGACCUGCGGUGCAUUAGCUAGUUGGUAAGGUAACGGCUUACCAAGGCAAUGAUGCAUAGCCGAGUUGAGAGACUGAUCGGCCACAUUGGGACUGAGACACGGCCCAAACUCCUACGGGAGGCAGCAGUAGGGAAUCUUCCACAAUGGACGAAAGUCUGAUGGAGCAACGCCGCGUGAGUGAAGAAGGGUUUCGGCUCGUAAAGCUCUGUUGGUAGUGAAGAAAGAUAGAGGUAGUAACUGGCCUUUAUUUGACGGUAAUUACUUAGAAAGUCACGGCUAACUACGUGCCAGCAGCCGCGGUAAUACGUAGGUGGCAAGCGUUGUCCGGAUUUAUUGGGCGUAAAGCGAGUGCAGGCGGUUCAAUAAGUCUGAUGUGAAAGCCUUCGGCUCAACCGGAGAAUUGCAUCAGAAACUGUUGAACUUGAGUGCAGAAGAGGAGAGUGGAACUCCAUGUGUAGCGGUGGAAUGCGUAGAUAUAUGGAAGAACACCAGUGGCGAAGGCGGCUCUCUGGUCUGCAACUGACGCUGAGGCUCGAAAGCAUGGGUAGCGAACAGGAUUAGAUACCCUGGUAGUCCAUGCCGUAAACGAUG